This is a long non-coding RNA of Herpailurus yagouaroundi (jaguarundi), 434 nucleotides long. RefSeq lists it as uncharacterized. NCBI's taxonomy places the organism in Eukaryota, Metazoa, Chordata, Mammalia, Carnivora, Felidae. The transcript is spliced from 2 exons. The record is from RefSeq and is a predicted model, not a curated record.
GCGCUGGUGGGUUCGAGGUCCUCAGGAGACAGAACCCGCGCGUCGGGAGGAUAAAUACGAUACAAACCGCUGGAGGCACAAGCCAAACGGCCCCCCGAACCCAGCGCGGGCGUGACCAUGGCCUUUGUGCGGGGAGCCGCGCAGAGCCGGCCCGCGUGGGGCACACGUUUGCACGCAGGAUCCUGCCGGCCGAGAGAGGAACACAGCUCAUGUGGUGGAGAAGAAACAGGGAAACUCUGAAAUUAAUUAAAAGAUUCUCCAAAGCAAUCCGUUUCCCUUUAGGCCCGAGGUAUGACAACCAACCCAAUCCCUCCCUAUCAGCCCCCUCACUUUAAUUUUUACGAUGUCAAUUUUCAUUACUAUUAAUUAUUUGCUGAGCUCCAACUGUACAUCCGGUGUUGCCCUGAUUACCAAGAAGCUUGCGGGUGCUUGUG